Molecule: ribosomal RNA, 292 nt
Filed under: uncultured bacterium
Lineage: Bacteria
Description: partial 16S ribosomal RNA
Rfam family: Bacterial small subunit ribosomal RNA
Source: RNAcentral
GUGCCAGCAGCCGCGGUAAUACGGAGGGUGCAAGCGUUGUCCGGAAUCACUGGGUGUAAAGCGCGCGUAGGCGGAUUGGAAAGUAUGGGGUGAAAUCCCGGGGCUCAACCCCGGAACUGCCUCCAAAACUACUGGUCUAGAGUUCGAGAGAGGUGAGUGGAAUUCCGAGUGUAGAGGUGAAAUUCGUAGAUAUUCGGAGGAACACCAGUGGCGAAGGCGGCUCACUGGCUCGAUACUGACGCUGAGGUGCGAAAGUGUGGGGAGUAAACAGGAUUAGAAACCCUGGUAGUCC